CCAGACUCCUACGGGAGGCAGCAGUGGGGGAUAUUGCACAAUGGGGGAAACCCUGAUGCAGCGACGCCGCGUGGGUGAAGAAGCGCCUCGGCGCGUAAAGCCCUGUCAGCAGGGAAGAAAAUGACGGUACCUGAAGAAGAAGCCCCGGCUAACUACGUGCCAGCAGCCGCGGUAAUACGUAGGGGGCACGCGUUAUCCGGAUUUACUGGGUGUAAAGGGAGCGUAGACGGCGAUGCAAGUCUGAAGUGAAAGCCCGGGGCUCAACCCCGGGACUGCGUUGGAAACUGUAUGGCUGGAGUGCUGGAGAGGCAAGCGGAAUUCCUAGUGUAGCGGUGAAAUGCGUAGAUAUUAGGAAGAACACCAGUGGCGAAGGCGGCUUGCUGGACAGUAACUGACGUUGAGGCUCGAAAGCGUGGGGAGCAAACAGGAUUAGAUACCCGAGUAGA
Molecule: ribosomal RNA, 446 nt
Filed under: uncultured bacterium
Lineage: Bacteria
Description: bacterial SSU rRNA
Rfam family: Bacterial small subunit ribosomal RNA
Source: RNAcentral